Non-coding RNA from Populus tomentosa, 2736 nucleotides. NCBI's taxonomy places the organism in Eukaryota, Viridiplantae, Streptophyta, Magnoliopsida, Malpighiales, Salicaceae. The record is from the annotation of a GenBank genome assembly.
ACCUGGUUGAUCCUGCCAGUAAGUAGUCAUAUGCUUGGUCUCAAGAUUUAAGCCAUGCAUGUGUAAGUAUGAACUAAUUCAGACUGUGAAACUGCGAAUGGCUCAUUAAAUCAGUUAUAGUUUGUUUGAUGGUAUUUGCUACUCGGAUAACCGUAGUAAUUCUAGAGCUAAUACGUGCAACAAACCCCCGACUCUGGAAGGGACGCAUUUAUUAGAUAAAAGGUCGACGCGGGCUCUGCCCGUUGCUUGAUGAUCAUGAUAAACUAGACGGAUCGCACGGCCAUCGUGCUCGGCGACGCAUCAUUCCAAUUUCUGCCCUAUCAACUUCGAUGGUAGGAUAGAGGCCUACCAUGGUGGUGACGGGUGACGGAGAAUUAGGGUUCGAUUCCGGAGAGGGAGCCUGAGAAACGGCUACCACAUCCAAGGAAGGGCAGCAGGCGCGCAAAUUACCCAAUCCUGACACGGGGAGGUAGUGACAAUAAAUAACAAUACCGGGCUCUUCGAGUCUGGGUAUUGGAAUGAGUACAAUCUAAAUCCCUUAACGAGGAUCCAUUGGGAGGGCAAGUCUUGGUGCCAGCAGCCGCGGUAAUUCCAGCUCCAAUAGCGUAUAUUUAAGUUGUUGCAGGUUAAAAAGCUCGUAGUUGGACUUUGGGUUGGGUCGGCCGGUUCCGCCUCAGGUGUUGCACCGGUCGCCUCGUCCCUUCUACCGGCGAUGCGCUCCUGGCUUAACUGGCCGGGGGUGUUUGCCUCCGGUGCUGUUACUUUGAAGAAAUUAGAGUGCUCAAAGCAAGCCUACGCUCUGGAUCACAUUAGCAUGUGAUAACAUCAAUAGGAUUUCGAUCCUAUUGUGUGGCCUUUUCGCGGAUCGGAUUAAUGAUUAACAGGGACAGUCGGGGGCAUUCGUAUUUCAUAGUCCGAGGUGAAAUUCUUGGAUUUAUGAAAGACGACAACUGCGAAAGCAUUUGCCAAGGAUUGUUUUCAUUAAUCAAGAACGAAAGUUGGGGGCUCGAAGACGAUCAGAUACCGUCAUAGUCUCAACCAUAAACGAUGCCGACCAGGGAUUGGCGGAUGUUGCUUCUAGGACUCCGCCAGCACCUUAUGAGAAAUCAAAGUUUUGGGUUCUGGGGGGGGGAGUAUGGUCGCAAGGCUGAAACUUAAAGGAAUUGACGGAAGGGCACCACCAGGAGUGAGCCUGCGGCUUAAUUUGACUCAACACGGGGAGGAAACUUACCAGGUCCAGACAUAGUAAGGAUUGACAGAGCUGAGAGCUCGUUCUUUUUUUUGAUCAAAAUGUAAGGAAGUAUAUUGAAUCAAAAAUGUUUGCAAGACAAGCUUGCGGUACACAGGCUGGAAACCAGCAAUACAAAUGGAUUAUAUAUCCAGGCAAAAGGAACAGACUCCCUUGAGCAACCAAAGCAAGACAAGCUUGCAGUACAGAAAGUGAGCAAGGGACUGACUCCCUCGAAUGACAGCUAAAGGAACAGACUCCCUUGAUUACAAAGAAGAAACAUAAAACAUGGACAACCCCAUGUGGGUAGGUAAAAUAUCAAAGCUGCACUGCAGCUGCACAAGUUCUUCUGUUGUAGGUCAGAAGAAAAUCUUCUAGGCAACUCUACUCCAACUGUAAAGAUAGAGUAGUAACCCAAACAGCUUUAAAAAGCUCGACAAACGACCAUCAACCCUGCUAGCCACAACAAUUCCAACCCAAAGCAGGCAGCCAAAGCCAUUCCUCAGAGUCGGGCCCAUACAUCAGCAAGCAAAGCCACAUCCGCAGAUAUAGCUACUAGAACCAGCUAAUUGAUGCCCGCCAGACUGAAGCUUGCAGAAGCCACCACGUUCCAAGCUAGAGCAGCAGGUCUGGGCAGAAGCGAGAGUUGAUGACAGCAAAGUGACAUUGCUCCACAAAGGAGCAACAAACACAUCACACCAUAAGGAUGGCCUCACGUGAAAACAGAAAGGGACCCAAUACAAGGUCACACACAUCAGCAAGCUACACCACCAGGAGAUAAGCUUCUAGACCCGCUACUCCAAGAUGAGCAACCAAUUACAGCCGUGUAGAAUCAUGCAAAACCAUGCAGCCCAUGCAGAAAUCCACACGAAUGAAUAAAGCCCCCCAAACUGGAACCCCCGUGUGGAAAGGGACCACAAGCAGUGAAGCACUUAGGAGGCUGCAGUAGAAAAGCCACCACGUGGUAAGGAACCCCAUGUAGCUACAGAAGACGUGGAAAAAAACCAGCCAAUCAGGAGUCAUGCAAAUCAUGCAAACCCAUGCAGAGAUUCCAGCAGCCCCCGAUGUUGAAUACAUCUCCCCGAGAGUCAGAACUGAAGAGGCACAACCGAAGCUAUCAUCACAUAGCAGCAAUGGACAGCCACCAUUAGCUCCCACCCGAAGGAUGAUCUCCAACCAAAGUUAUUCCAGCAGAGUGCUGGAUUGUGACAUCCAACCAGAGACCCAAAACCGGGCCAUGCAACAGCAGGCAUAGAACAAGUCACCAUACGCCAGCUAUGGUAGUGAACCUUCAGCAAAUCAUCACCCGAAGACCAAUCAGCACCACAAUGACUACCUAAUUGAGACUAGGACAGCCUCCGUCUAGCACUCUCCCACCGAGAAAUGAACUGAAGAAAGAAAGCUCCUCCAAUUCCUUCAACCGAACCUUCAUGCUAGGAGAGCUGCGACAGAGGACGCUACAGCAGUAGCCCAAGCAUUUGGGAGAGAGCCUCAACCCAAGUUGAUGG